Molecule: ribosomal RNA, 1448 nt
Filed under: uncultured bacterium
Lineage: Bacteria
Description: bacterial SSU rRNA
Rfam family: Bacterial small subunit ribosomal RNA
Source: RNAcentral
UAGAGUUUGAUCCUGGCUCAGGAUGAACGCUGGCGGCGUGCUUAACACAUGCAAGUCGAACGAACCUUCGGGUUAGUGGCGGACGGGUGAGUAACGCGUGAGAAUCUGCCCUCAGGAGGGGGAUAACGGUUGGAAACGACCGCUAAUACCCCAUAUGCCGAUAGGUGAAAUGAAUUUCGCCUGAGGAUGAGCUCGCGUCUGAUUAGCUUGUUGGUGAGGUAAUGGCUCACCAAGGCUUCGAUCAGUAGCUGGUCUGAGAGGAUGAUCAGCCACACUGGGGCUGAGACACGGCCCAGACUCCUACGGGAGGCAGCAGUGGGGAAUUUUCCGCAAUGGGCGAAAGCCUGACGGAGCAACGCCGCGUGAGGGACGAAGGCCUCUGGGCUGUAAACCUCUUUUCUCAAGGAAGAAGAUAUGACGGUACUUGAGGAAUAAGCCACGGCUAAUUCCGUGCCAGCAGCCGCGGUAAUACGGGAGUGGCAAGCGUUACCCGGAAUUAUUGGGCGUAAAGCGUCCGCAGGCGGCCUUUCAAGUCUGCUGUUAAAGCGUGGAGCUUAACUCCAUUAUGGCAGUGGAAACUGAUAGGCUUGAGUAUGGUAGGGGCAGAGGGAAUUCCCGGUGUAGCGGUGAAAUGCGUAGAUAUCGGGAAGAACACCAGUGGCGAAGGCGCUCUGCUGGGCCAUUACUGACGCUCAUGGACGAAAGCCAGGGGAGCGAAAGGGAUUAGAUACCCCUGUAGUCCUGCCCGUAAACGAUGAACACUAGGUGUCGGGGGAAUCGACCCCUUCGGUGUCGUAGCUAACGCGUUAAGUGUUCCGCCUGGGGAGUACGCACGCAAGUGUGAAACUCAAAGGAAUUGACGGGGGCCCGCACAAGCGGUGGAGUAUGUGGUUUAAUUCGAUGCAACGCGAAGAACCUUACCAGGGUUUGACAUCCUGAGAACCUCUUAGAAAUUUGAGGGUGCCUUCGGGAAUUCAGUGACAGGUGGUGCAUGGCUGUCGUCAGCUCGUGUCGUGAGAUGUUGGGUUAAGUCCCGCAACGAGCGCAACCCACGUUUUUAGUUGCCAGCAUUUAGUUGGGCACUCUAGAAAGACCGCCGGUGAUAAACCGGAGGAAGGUGUGGAUGACGUCAAGUCAUCAUGCCCCUUACACCCUGGGCUACACACGUACUACAAUGCCACGGACAAAGGGCAGCAAACUCGCGAGAGCUAGCAAAUCCCAUAAACCGUGGCUCAGUUCAGAUCGUAGGCUGCAACUCGCCUACGUGAAGUAGGAAUCGCUAGUAAUCGCAGGUCAGCAUACUGCGGUGAGUACGUUCCCGGGCCUUGUACACACCGCCCGUCACACCAUGGAAGUUGGCCAUGCCCGAAGUCGUUACUCCAACCCUUGUGGAGGAGGACGCCGAAGGUGGGGCUAAUGACUGGGGUGAAGUCGUAACAAGGUAACCA